AUGGCCCUGGUGUGCCGAACCUCCGGGUUCGAUUUCGGGCAAUUUGCAAAGGGCUGGGUCCGCCAGAGGCCCGGGAAGGGGCUGGAAUUCAUCGCGACGAUCACCAACACCGGUGGUGGCACCUGGUUCGCGCCGUCGGUGCGGGGCCGGUUCAGGAUCUCCAGGGAAAACGGGCAGAGCUCGGUGACGCUGACCAUGAACAGCCUCAAGGACGAGGAUUCCGGCUCCUAUUUCUGCGCCAAAUCUGCUGCGACUGAUGCUCAUUAUGAUAAUGUUGAUGCUUUUGGUCCCUUCCCCUCCUGUCCCCAAAUCUCCCCCAGGCCCUUCUCCCAAACUCCGAUCAGCAGCCAUCAGCGUUUUUGGCGAAAUUGA
Molecule: non-coding RNA, 372 nt
Organism: Ficedula albicollis (Collared flycatcher)
Lineage: Eukaryota; Metazoa; Chordata; Aves; Passeriformes; Muscicapidae
Source: the annotation of a RefSeq genome assembly